CCUACGGGUGGCAGCAGUGGGGAAUAUUGGGCAAUGGGCGCAAGCCUGACCCAGCAACGCCGCGUGAAGGAUGAAGGUUUUCGGAUUGUAAACUUCUGUCGCGAGGGACGAAGAAUGACGGUACCUCGUAAGAAAGCCCCGGCUAACUACGUGCCAGCAGCCGCGGUAAUACGUAGGGGGCAAGCGUUGUCCGGAUUUACUGGGUGUAAAGGGAGCGUAGACGGCAGCGCAAGUCUGGAGUGAAAUGCCGGGGCCCAACCCCGGAACUGCUCUGGAAACUGUGAAGCUGGAGUGCAGGAGAGGUAAGCGGAAUUCCUGGUGUAGCGGUGAAAUGCGUAGAUAUCAGGAGGAACACCGGCGGCGAAGGCGGCUUACUGGACUGUAACUGACGUUGAGGCUCGAAGGCGUGGGGAGCAAACAGGAUUAGAUACCCUUGUAGUC
Molecule: ribosomal RNA, 441 nt
Filed under: uncultured bacterium
Lineage: Bacteria
Description: partial 16S ribosomal RNA
Rfam family: Bacterial small subunit ribosomal RNA
Source: RNAcentral